Molecule: unclassified non-coding RNA, 2058 nt
Filed under: Leishmania donovani
Lineage: Eukaryota; Euglenozoa; Kinetoplastea; Trypanosomatida; Trypanosomatidae
Description: gene:LdHU3.01.0750(CDS-product:metallo-peptidase_ Clan_ME_Family_M16)
Source: RNAcentral
CGCGUGAAGAUCGAUAAGUCGCAUACACGCACACGCAGCGGCGCUGCUAGCUCAAGAAGCGGAGGGGGCGCGCGUAGAUCUCUUCGCUUGCAUCACGUUGUAUUGCUGAGCGGCACACAAGGCGACCGCGCCGACGGCCCCCCGACGCACACCUCACGAGUGCACCGCACCCAGUCACGAUGAUGCGGCGAACCGGCGCCGUGGCGGCGACGGCGGCGCUGCCGCAAAACAUGACAAUGAAAGACCCGCUCUGCCAGCAGGUGCUGAGCCGCUGCACCCCCGUCGUCUACUCCUCUCUGCCGAACGGCUUCCGGGUCGCGACGGAGUACGUGAAGGACUGCCCCUUCGCCACCGUCGGCGUGUGGAUCGACGCCGGCAGCCGCUUCGAGGACAUCCACAACAGCGGCGUGGCGCACUUCCUGGAGCACAUGAACUUCAAGGGCACCGACCGGUACUCGAAGAGCGACGUCGAGAACCUCUUCGAGCACCGCGGCGCGCACUUCAACGCGUACACCUCGCGCGACCGCACCGCCUACUACGUGAAGGCGUUCACGAAGGACGUGGACAAGAUGAUCGACGUCGUGUCAGACCUCCUCCAGCGUGGCCGCUACCGCCGUCACGACAUCGAGGCGGAGCGGCCGACGAUCUUGGCGGAGAUGCGCGAGGUAGAGGAGCUCGUGGAUGAGGUGCUCAUGGACAACGUGCACCAAGCCGCCUACGACCCGACGACGAGUGGGCUGCCGCUCACAAUCCUCGGCCCGGUCGAGAACAUCGCCAAGAACAUCAACAAGUCCAUGAUCGAGGACUACGUGCGGGUGCACUACACAGGACCGCGCAUGUGCCUCGUGUCGUCUGGCGGCAUCUCGCCUGAUGCGGCGCACGCGCUGGCGGAGAAGUACUUUAGCGGCCUGUCCUCCACGAACAACCGCCCGCUUCUGCGCGGUGUGUACAAGGGUGGCCACACAGUUCUGUGGAACGAGGGAAUGGCGACAGCGAACACGGCCGUGGCUUUCCCGAUCUGCGGCGCCUCGCACCCGGACAGCUACCCGCUGCAGCUGAUACACAACGUGAUUGGGCAGUUUCGCGAAGGGCAGUACGACCAGUUCAGCUCCCAGCGCCGCAACCCGAACCUGCCGUGGGAGCGGGUGCCGAACCUGGUCCAGCUGCGCCCCUUCUACACGCCGUACGAGGAGACGGCGCUGCUCGGCUACCACAUCGUGACGGCCCGCAUGGCGACGAGCGGCAUUGCCCGCGACGACGCGCAGACACUGAUGCUCAACUACGUCCUCAGCUCGCUCUACGACCUCUGUGCCACCAAGGUAGACGACUCCCUGUUGGAGGCGGCCAAGGCGGAGUUUAAGGCGUCCGUCAUGAUGAUGCGCGACAGCACGACGAACAGCGCCGAAGACCUCGGGCGGCAGAUGAUUCACUUUGGCCGCCGCGUGCCGCUGCAGGAGGUGUUUGAGCGGGUCGACGCCGUCACGCCCGAGUCCCUGCGCGCCGCGGCGGAGAAGUACUUGGCCGUCGUGCAACCCACCGUGUCCUGCAUCGGCGCGAGCAGCACGUUGCCCAAGUACAGCCCCCUCUCGCUCGUGUCAAAUGUGGUGCACCCGCAGCUGACGUCGGCGCAGUUCCCGGAGGACGCGCGUGCGUGUCUGCUGUGAGGACGGUGGCGAGAGGCGAGGCGCGUGCGAGUACAGCUGUGGUUGAGGGGGGAGGCGCACCGUCAUGGACCGCCCACCCACCCACCCACCCACCCCCCGCGCAUGCGUGCAUGGCAUGUCCAUGCAUACGCGUCUGUAUCACACACACACACACACACACUUGCGCGCUCCUGGUCUGGUUGCUGGACGGCUGGCUGGCUGCGUCUCGUGGCUCAUGCCUGUCGCCCGUAUGGCGGCCGCCGCUCACCCUGUUGCUGGUGAUGAUGGCGUUGCCGUUGGUGGGAAGGUCGAUGCACACGGCAGCCUUCUCUUUCCCUAUUAUGUUCCCUCUUGUUAAGCGCACGUUUGCCGUGUACCUCUUUUAAAGUUUCCUUCCAGGCACAACAAGCGCGAC